RNAcentral lists this unclassified non-coding RNA (253 nucleotides) under uncultured Caryophanales bacterium. RNAcentral describes it as "uncultured Bacillales bacterium contains 16S-23S intergenic spacer region". It matches the Rfam family "Bacterial small subunit ribosomal RNA", at positions 524 to 776 of the family's 1533-position model. Lineage: Bacteria; Bacillati; Bacillota; Bacilli; Caryophanales. The record is from RNAcentral.
UACGUAGGUGGCAAGCGUUGUCCGGAAUUACUGGGCGUAAAGCGCAUGUAGGCGGUCGGAUAAGUCGGGUGUGAAAGCCCCCUGCUCAACCGGGGAGGGCCAUUGGAAACUGGGAGGCUUGAGUAUAGGAGAGAAGAGUGGAAUUCCACGUGUAGCGGUGAAAUGCGUAGAGAUGUGGAGGAACACCAGUGGCGAAGGCGACUCUUUGGCCUAUAACUGACGCUGAGGCGCGAAAGCGUGGGGAGCAAACAGG